GCGGGAUUCGUAUAGUGGUAGUACGGCUCUCUCCAAAAGAGCAUGCGGGGGUCCGAUUCCUCCAUCCCGUGCCA
Molecule: transfer RNA, 74 nt
Filed under: bacterium
Lineage: Bacteria
Description: tRNA-Trp
Rfam family: tRNA
About the family: Transfer RNA (tRNA) molecules are approximately 80 nucleotides in length.
Source: RNAcentral